RNAcentral lists this ribosomal RNA (497 nucleotides) under uncultured bacterium. Its description in RNAcentral is "partial 16S ribosomal RNA". It matches the Rfam family "Bacterial small subunit ribosomal RNA", at positions 28 to 507 of the family's 1533-position model. The record is from RNAcentral.
GAUGAACGCUGGCGGCGUGCCUAAUACAUGCAAGUCGAGCGAACAGACGAGGAGCUUGCUCCUCUGACGUUAGCGGCGGACGGGUGAGUAACACGUGGAUAACCUACCUAUAAGACUGGGAUAACUUCGGGAAACCGGAGCUAAUACCGGAUAAUAUAUUGAACCGCAUGGUUCAAUAGUGAAAGACGGUUUUGCUGUCACUUAUAGAUGGAUCCGCGCCGCAUUAGCUAGUUGGGAAGGUAACGGCUUACCAAGGCAACGAUGCGUAGCCGACCUGAGAGGGUGAUCGGCCACACUGGAACUGAGACACGGUCCAGACUCCUACGGGAGGCAGCAGUAGGGAAUCUUCCGCAAAGGGCGAAAGCUUGACGGAGCAACGCCGCGUGAGUGAUGAAGGUCUUCGGAUCGUAAAACUCUGUUAUUAGGGAAGAACAAAUGUGUAAGUAACUAUGCACGUCUUGACGGUACCUAAUCAGAAAGCCACGGCUAACUACGUG